AUACGUAGGGUGCAAGCGUUAAUCGGAAUUACUGGGCGUAAAGCGUGCGCAGGCGGUUUUGUAAGACAGUGGUGAAAUCCCCGGGCUCAACCUGGGAACUGCCAUUGUGACUGCAAGGCUGGAGUGCGGCAGAGGGGGAUGGAAUUCCGCGUGUAGCAGUGAAAUGCGUAGAUAUGCGGAGGAACACCGAUGGCGAAGGCAAGCCCCUGGGCCGGCACUGACGCUCAUGCACGAAAGCGUGGGGAGCAAACAGGAUUAGAUACCCUGGUAGUCCACGCCCUAAACGAUGUCAACUGGUUGUUGGGGAUUUAUUUUCUCAGUAACGAAGCUAACGCGUGAAGUUGACCGCCUGGGGAGUACGGCCGCAAGGUUAAAACUCAAAUGAAUUGACGGGG
This 395-nucleotide ribosomal RNA is filed under the name uncultured bacterium. RNAcentral's name for it is "partial 16S ribosomal RNA". It matches the Rfam family "Bacterial small subunit ribosomal RNA", at positions 523 to 918 of the family's 1533-position model. The record is from RNAcentral.